RNAcentral lists this ribosomal RNA (459 nucleotides) under uncultured Acaulospora. Its description in RNAcentral is "SSU rRNA". It matches the Rfam family "Eukaryotic small subunit ribosomal RNA", at positions 569 to 1030 of the family's 1831-position model. Lineage: Eukaryota; Fungi; Glomeromycota; Glomeromycetes; Diversisporales; Acaulosporaceae. The record is from RNAcentral.
AGCAGCCGCGGUAAUUCCAGCUCCAAUAGCGUAUAUUAAAGUUGUUGCAGUUAAAAAGCUCAUAGUUGAAUUUCGGAAUCUGUCCGUCGGUCGGGCUUCACUGUCCGUACUGGCGUGAUGGGUUUCUACCUUCUGAAUAAUCGGCAUGUCAUUAAUUUGGUGCGCCGGGGAAGCAGAACUAUUACCUUGAAAAAAUUAGAGUGCUUAAAGCAGGCUAUCGCCUGAAUAGAUUAGCAUGGAAUAAUAAAAUAGGACGGCAUGGUUCUAUUUUGUUGGUUUCUAGGAUCACCGUAAUGAUUAAUAGGGAUAGUUGGGGGCAUUAGUAUUCAAUUGUCAGAGGUGAAAUUCUUGGAUUUAUUGAAGACUAACUUCUGCGAAAGCAUUUGCCAAGGAUGUUUUCAUUAAUCAAGAACGAAAGUUAGGGGAUCGAAGACGAUCAGAUACCGUCGUAGUCUUAAC